This 460-nucleotide ribosomal RNA is filed under the name Bacillus tequilensis. RNAcentral's name for it is "bacterial SSU rRNA". It matches the Rfam family "Bacterial small subunit ribosomal RNA", at positions 39 to 486 of the family's 1533-position model. The record is from RNAcentral. Lineage: Bacteria; Bacillati; Bacillota; Bacilli; Caryophanales; Bacillaceae.
UUUGCGUGCUUUUACACAUGCAAGUCGAGCGGACAGAUGGGAGCUUGCUCCCUGAUGUUAGCGGCGGACGGGUGAGUAACACGUGGGUAACCUGCCUGUAAGACUGGGAUAACUCCGGGAAACCGGGGCUAAUACCGGAUGGUUGUUUGAACCGCAUGGUUCAAACAUAAAAGGUGGCUUCGGCUACCACUUACAGAUGGACCCGCGGCGCAUUAGCUAGUUGGUGAGGUAACGGCUCACCAAGGCAACGAUGCGUAGCCGACCUGAGAGGGUGAUCGGCCACACUGGGACUGAGACACGGCCCAGACUCCUACGGGAGGCAGCAGUAGGGAAUCUUCCGCAAUGGACGAAAGUCUGACGGAGCAACGCCGCGUGAGUGAUGAAGGUUUUCGGAUCGUAAAGCUCUGUUGUUAGGGAAGAACAAGUACCGUCGAAUAGGGCGUACUGACGACUUGCCAAC